This 253-nucleotide ribosomal RNA is filed under the name uncultured bacterium. RNAcentral describes it as "partial 16S ribosomal RNA". It matches the Rfam family "Bacterial small subunit ribosomal RNA", at positions 524 to 776 of the family's 1533-position model. The record is from RNAcentral.
UACGAAGGGUGCAAGCGUUACUCGGAAUUACUGGGCGUAAAGCGUGCGUAGGUGGUUUGUUAAGUCAGAUGUGAAAGCCCUGGGCUCAACCUGGGAACUGCAUUUGAUACUGGCAGGCUAGAGUGCGGUAGAGGGGUGCGGAAUUCCUGGUGUAGCAGUGAAAUGCGUAGAGAUCAGGAGGAACAUCCGUGGCGAAGGCGGCACCCUGGGCCAGCACUGACACUGAGGCACGAAAGCGUGGGGAGCAAACAGG